UACGUAGGGGGCAAGCGUUGUCCGGAAUCAUUGGGCGUAAAGCGCGCGUAGGCGGCCCGGUAAGUCCGUUGUGAAAGUCAAAGGCUCAACCUUUGAACGCCGAUGGAUACUGCCGGGCUAGAGUCCGGAAGAGGCGAGUGGAAUUCCUGGUGUAGCGGUGGAAUGCGCAGAUAUCGUAAGGAAGACCAGUGGCGAAGGCGGGUCUCUGGACAGUUCCUGACGCUGAGGCACGAAGGUCAGGGGAGCAAACGGG
Molecule: ribosomal RNA, 253 nt
Filed under: uncultured bacterium
Lineage: Bacteria
Description: partial 16S ribosomal RNA
Rfam family: Bacterial small subunit ribosomal RNA
Source: RNAcentral